CCUACGGGAGGCAGCAGUGGGGAAUAUUGGGCAAUGGGCGCAAGCCUGACCCAGCAACGCCGCGUGAAGGAAGAAGGCUUUCGGGUUGUAAACUUCUUUUAAGGGGGAAGAGCAGAAGACGGUACCCCUUGAAUAAGCCACGGCUAACUACGUGCCAGCAGCCGCGGUAAUACGUAGGUAGCAAGCGUUGUCCGGCUUUACUGGGUGUAAAGGGCGUGCAGCCGGGGAGACAAGUCAGAUGUGAAAUCCACGGGCUCAACCCGUGAAUUGCAUUGGAAACUGGUUCCCUUGAGUGUCGGAGAGGUAAGCGGAAUUCCAUGUGAAGCGGUGAAAUGCGUAGAUAUAAGGAAGAACACCAGAGGCGAAGGCGGAUUACUGGACGAUAACUGACGGUGAGGCGCGAAAGCGUGGGGAGCAAACAGGAUUAGAUACCCGGGUAGUC
RNAcentral lists this ribosomal RNA (442 nucleotides) under uncultured bacterium. RNAcentral's name for it is "partial 16S ribosomal RNA". It matches the Rfam family "Bacterial small subunit ribosomal RNA", at positions 338 to 795 of the family's 1533-position model. The record is from RNAcentral.